GAAGGGGUAGCUCAGUGGUAGAGCACAUGCACGAGGUCCUGGGUUCAAUCCCCAGUACCUCCA
This is a transfer RNA of Camelus ferus (Wild Bactrian camel), 63 nucleotides long. It matches the Rfam family "tRNA". From Rfam's summary of the family: Transfer RNA (tRNA) molecules are approximately 80 nucleotides in length. Their secondary structure includes four short double-helical elements and three loops (D, anti-codon, and T loops). The record is from Rfam. NCBI's taxonomy places the organism in Eukaryota, Metazoa, Chordata, Mammalia, Artiodactyla, Camelidae.